This 606-nucleotide ribosomal RNA is filed under the name Staphylococcus aureus. Its description in RNAcentral is "bacterial SSU rRNA". It matches the Rfam family "Bacterial small subunit ribosomal RNA", at positions 220 to 818 of the family's 1533-position model. Lineage: Bacteria; Bacillati; Bacillota; Bacilli; Caryophanales; Staphylococcaceae. The record is from RNAcentral.
UAUAGAUGGAUCCGCGCUGCAUUAGCUAGUUGGUAAGGUAACGGCUUACCAAGGCAACGAUGCAUAGCCGACCUGAGAGGGUGAUCGGCCACACUGGAACUGAGACACGGUCCAGACUCCUACGGGAGGCAGCAGUAGGGAAUCUUCCGCAAUGGGCGAAAGCCUGACGGAGCAACGCCGCGUGAGUGAUGAAGGUCUUCGGAUCGUAAAACUCUGUUAUUAGGGAAGAACAUAUGUGUAAGUAACUGUGCACAUCUUGACGGUACCUAAUCAGAAAGCCACGGCUAACUACGUGCCAGCAGCCGCGGUAAUACGUAGGUGGCAAGCGUUAUCCGGAAUUAUUGGGCGUAAAGCGCGCGUAGGCGGUUUUUUAAGUCUGAUGUGAAAGCCCACGGCUCAACCGUGGAGGGUCAUUGGAAACUGGAAAACUUGAGUGCAGAAGAGGAAAGUGGAAUUCCAUGUGUAGCGGUGAAAUGCGCAGAGAUAUGGAGGAACACCAGUGGCGAAGGCGACUUUCUGGUCUGUAACUGACGCUGAUGUGCGAAAGCGUGGGGAUCAAACAGGAUUAGAUACCCUGGUAGUCCACGCCGUAAACGAUGAGUGCUA